This 206-nucleotide unclassified non-coding RNA is filed under the name Hevea brasiliensis (rubber tree). The record is from RNAcentral. Lineage: Eukaryota; Viridiplantae; Streptophyta; Magnoliopsida; Malpighiales; Euphorbiaceae.
GAGAGAGAGAGAAGUUCUAAAGCCAUUUCCUGCUCUUAAUGAACGAGACAGCAGAAGUACAAAGUAAUUAUUUAUAAUAAGUAGAAACAUUGGGAAAAAGCAAGAACUGAAGGCUGAGAAUAGAGAAAUGGAGAAGGGAAAAAAAACGCCUAUAGCGCACUGUUUGGUCUUAGCCUACCCAGCCCAAGGCCACAUAAACCCCAUGC